GAUCAUGGCUCAGGACGAACGCUGGCGGCGUGCCUAACACAUGCAAGUCGAGCGGGGACAUACGACGGAGUCAAAGUUUCGGAUGGAGACGAAGAUGUAUGUUCUAGCGGCGGACGGGUGAGUAACGCGUGAGCAACCUGUCCCUUACAGGGGGAUAACACAGCGAAAGUUGUACUAAUACCGCAUGAGACCACGGGAGGACAUCCUCCAGGGGUCAAAGGAGCAAUCCGGUAAGGGGUGGGCUCGCGUCCGAUUAGAUAGUUGGUGAGGUAACGGCCCACCAAGUCGACGAUCGGUAGCCGACCUGAGAGGGUGAUCGGCCACAUUGGGACUGAGACACGGCCCAAACUCCUACGGGAGGCAGCAGUGGGGAAUAUUGGGCAAAUGGGGGAAACCCUGACCCAGCAACGCCGCGUGAGGGAAGAAGGUUUUCGGAUCGUAAACCUCUGUCCUUGGUGAAGAGGAAGAGACGGUAGCCAAGGAGGAAGCCCCGGCUAACUACGUGCCAGCCGCGGC
Molecule: ribosomal RNA, 516 nt
Filed under: uncultured bacterium
Lineage: Bacteria
Description: bacterial SSU rRNA
Rfam family: Bacterial small subunit ribosomal RNA
Source: RNAcentral